RNAcentral lists this ribosomal RNA (1395 nucleotides) under Bacillus sp. tc09. Its description in RNAcentral is "16S ribosomal RNA". It matches the Rfam family "Bacterial small subunit ribosomal RNA". The record is from RNAcentral. Lineage: Bacteria; Bacillati; Bacillota; Bacilli; Caryophanales; Bacillaceae.
AGUCGAGCGAAUGGAUUAAGAGCUUGCUCUUAUGAAGUUAGCGGCGGACGGGUGAGUAACACGUGGGUAACCUGCCCAUAAGACUGGGAUAACUCCGGGAAACCGGGGCUAAUACCGGAUAACAUUGAACCGCAUGGUUCGAAAUUGAAAGGCGGCUUCGGCUGUCACUUAUGGAUGGACCCGCGUCGCAUUAGCUAGUUGGUGAGGUAACGGCUCACCAAGGCAACGAUGCGUAGCCGACCUGAGAGGGGUCGGCCACACUGGGACUGAGACACGGCCCAGACUCCUACGGGAGGCAGCAGUAGGGAAUCUUCCGCAAUGGACGAAAGUCUGACGGAGCAACGCCGCGUGAGUGAUGAAGGCUUUCGGGUCGUAAACCUGUUGUUAGGGAAGAACAAGUGCUAGUUGAAUAAGCUGGCACCUUGACGGUACCUAACCAGAAAGCCACGGCUAACUACGUGCCAGCAGCCGCGGUAAUACGUAGGUGGCAAGCGUUAUCCGGAUUUUGGGCGUAAAGCGCGCGCAGGUGGUUUCUUAAGUCUGAUGUGAAAGCCCACGGCUCAACCGUGGAGGGUCAUUGGAAACUGGGAGACUUGAGUGCAGAAGAGGAAAGUGGAAUUCCAUGUGUGCGGGAAAUGCGUAGAGAUAUGGAGGAACACCAGUGGCGAAGGCGACUUUCUGGUCUGUAACUGACACUGAGGCGCGAAAGCGUGGGGAGCAAACAGGAUUAGAUACCCUGGUAGUCCACGCCGUAACGAUAGUGCUAAGUGUUAGAGGGUUUCCGCCCUUUAGUGCUGAAGUUAACGCAUUAAGCACUCCGCCUGGGGAGUACGGCCGCAAGGGUGAAACUUAAAGGAAUUGACGGGGGCCCGCACCAGCGUGGAGCUGUGGUUUAAUUUGAAGCAACGGGAAGAACCUUACCAGGUUUUGACAUCCUUUGACAACCCUAGAGAUAGGGGUUUUCCUUUGGGAGCAGAGUGACAGGUGGUGCAUGGUUGUUGUCAGCCGUGUUGGAGAUGUUGGGUUAAGUCCCGCAACGAGCGCAACCCUUGAUUUUAGUUGCCAUCAUUAAGUUGGGCACUUUAAGGUGACUGCCGGUGACAAACCGGAGGAAGGUGGGGAAGACGUCAAACAUCAUGCCCUUAUGACCUGGGCUACCCACGUGGUACAAUGGACGGUACAAAGAGGUGCAAGACCCCGAGGGGGAGCUAAUUUCAUAAAACCGUUUUCAGUUUGGAUUGUAGGGUGCAACUUGCCUCAUGAAGCCGAAUCGCUAGUAAUCGCGGAUCAGCCUGCCGCGGGGAAUACGUUCCCGGGCCUUGUACACCCCCCCCGUCACCCCCCGAGAGUUUGUAACACCCGAAGUCGGUGGGGUAACCUUUUUGAGCCAGCCGC